AGGGGCGUAGUUCAAUUGGUAGAGCACCGGUCUCCAAAACCGGGUGUUGGGGUUCGAGUCCCUCCGCCCCUGCCA
RNAcentral lists this transfer RNA (75 nucleotides) under Edwardsiella anguillarum. RNAcentral's name for it is "tRNA-Trp". It matches the Rfam family "tRNA". From Rfam's summary of the family: Transfer RNA (tRNA) molecules are approximately 80 nucleotides in length. Their secondary structure includes four short double-helical elements and three loops (D, anti-codon, and T loops). Further hydrogen bonds mediate the characteristic L-shaped molecular structure. tRNAs have two regions of fundamental functional importance: the anti-codon, which is responsible for specific mRNA codon recognition, and the 3' end, to which the tRNAs corresponding amino acid is attached (by aminoacyl-tRNA synthetases). tRNAs cope with the degeneracy of the genetic code in two manners: having more than one tRNA (with a specific anti-codon) for a particular amino acid; and 'wobble' base-pairing, i.e. permitting non-standard base-pairing at the 3rd anti-codon position. The record is from RNAcentral. Lineage: Bacteria; Pseudomonadati; Pseudomonadota; Gammaproteobacteria; Enterobacterales; Hafniaceae.